GUUGCCUCCUAGUAACGCUUGUUUAACCUCACGAGCCUGACCCAAACCUGGUUAGCACUUGUCAGUAAGUGCACUUCCUUCCACCACCCAUCAGUAGUGUACCUUCCGGAUAUCCUUCAGUAGAUACCUAUAUCUUCUAACAUCCCCCAGUAGAUGCUACCCCAGUAGCACUCAUCAGUAAAUGCUAAUCUUUCUAAUCUUCAUUGGCAUCCAUCAGUAAAUGUCAUAUCACCUAACAUCCAUCAGUAGAUGUUGUAGAAGCAUCCAUCAGUAGAUGUUAUCAUCACUGCCAUCAGAAGCAACGCAUAACCCAAAAAAAAAAAAUAAUAAAACCAAAUCAAAUAAAAUCAAAUAAAAUAAAAAAAAUCAAAUAA
Molecule: long non-coding RNA, 374 nt
Filed under: Vigna radiata
Lineage: Eukaryota; Viridiplantae; Streptophyta; Magnoliopsida; Fabales; Fabaceae
Description: long non-coding RNA (VRAD_LNC015675)
Source: RNAcentral